This 168-nucleotide ribosomal RNA is filed under the name uncultured bacterium. RNAcentral's name for it is "partial 16S rRNA". It matches the Rfam family "Bacterial small subunit ribosomal RNA", at positions 353 to 511 of the family's 1533-position model. The record is from RNAcentral.
UAGGGGAAAUCUUCGGCAAUGGGGGCGAACCCUGACCGAGCAACGCCGCGUGAGUGAAGAAGGUUUUCGGAUCGUAAAGCUCUGUUGUAAGAGAAGAACGUGUGUGAGAGUGGAAAGUUCACACAGUGACGGUAACUUACCAGAAAGGGACGGCUAACUACGUGCCAG